AUAAGAGUGACAUCCAUUGCUCCACCCACUUUGGAUGCUGGCCCCACCCACUUUCACUUCUGGCUCCGCCUGCCACUGGUUCCAGAAGGUUCCCCAUGAGUGAAUGAGGCUGGAAAAGUCAACAAUACUGAGCUAGAUGGACCAACAACCCGACUUGCUAUAAGGCUUCCUAUGUAUCCUGCAAGUAACAAUGCAGUAACGCUAAGAACCAGUUAAACUGUAAAACCAAAUUCAGUUAAAAUGCCUGCUGAAUUUUCAAAGUCUUCAGUAGGCACCAGAAGUUCAAUGGGGAGGGGUGAUGUUUGACCGACCUCAACUAAAGGGGAGUUCCCUCCAAACUAGAAGGGAGUUCUGCCUGUCUGUGUGCCAUGUGGAGACCAGCAGGAGAUGAUUGCGGCCUCGUCUCAGGGUAGAUGAAGAUCGUGAAGCUUUUGAUGCGGAGAACGAGCGCUUCUGAUCUCUGACAAAAACCCUGCUCAGAACUCUGUGCUGGGGCUUUCCCAUGCACGUUUAUAGAUGAACUUGGGGCGAAUGGCAGGUCUUACGAACUCAAAGCGGUCCCCAGCGAAACGAUGCUUUGUAGAUGUCCCCGGCCCCCCAUUUCCCCCCCUCUGCCUCCUCUCCUUUUUGUCUCCUUCAGCAGUCGGGAGCAGCAUCCCCAGCCAAACGGGAGAGAGCAUGGUAGCCGUUCCAGACCCCAGAUGCCAAUAUGUGGCAGCAUCUGGUUCAUUGGCAGGCAUCGCAGACAGUUGUGCUGGCUGCUCUUGAGACUUUCGUGUGGCUUAUUUUGCUGUCAGGCACACUGACUCUUUGAGAAAGUGGUCCCAACUGUGCGAACAAAGAGCGAACGGAAGAAAAGUGGCGCUGGCAUUGUGUGUGUGUGUGUGUGUGGAAUGGCCUGCAUUAGAGAUGGAGCUUACAAGGUAAGGUGACUGGUGUUGUGGGAUGCUUCCCCUGUUCUCGCGCCACUGAACAUCCCAUCCCGAUGCAUCUCGAAUAACUGCACCUUCUUGCGACGUUACUGUUUUUGCAGGCGCCUUAAGGCAUGGAGCUCCUUGAAAGAGAAACACAAAUAGCUCAAAACGGAGAGAUAAAAAACAACCAAAACCCCCUCUCUCCUUAGAGGCCAUGUGUUUGGCUUGGGAAACACACGAUAACAGCUUGCUUGAAAAAGGUGACAUUUCUACCGAAAAGCUGAAUAAUAAAAAUAAAAGAAUGCCGCUAUAAAUGCAGCUCGCCCGUGUCUUCAGACAGGGACGAGACUUUUCUGAUGGAG
Molecule: non-coding RNA, 1276 nt
Organism: Podarcis lilfordi (Lilford's wall lizard)
Lineage: Eukaryota; Metazoa; Chordata; Lepidosauria; Squamata; Lacertidae
Source: the annotation of a GenBank genome assembly